CGCAGCCGCGGUAAUUCCAGCUCCAAUAGCGUAUAUUAAAGUUGUUGCAGUUAAAAGCUCGUAGUUGAAUUUCGGGAUCAAUAUGUUGGUCGUGCCUUGGUACGUACUGGCGUCAUUGGUUUCUACCUUCUGAAGAACCCCGAUGUCAUUAAUUUGGUGUCUUGGGGAAUCAGGACUGUUACUUUGAAAAAUUAGAGUGUUUAAAGCAAGCUCACGCUUGAAUACAUUAGCAUGGAAUAAUGAAAUAGGACGUUUGAUUCUAUUUUGUUGGUUUCUAGGAUCGACGUAAUGGUUAAUAGGGAUAGUUGGGGGCAUUAGUAUUCAAUUGUCAGAGGUGAAAUUCUUGGAUUUAUUGAAGACUAACUACUGCGAAAGCAUUUGCCAAGGAUGUUUUCAUUAAUCAAGAACGAAAGUUAGGGAUCGAAGACGAUCAGAUACCGUCGUAGUCUUAACCAUAAACUAUGCCGACUAGGAAUCGGAUGAUGUUAAUUUUUAAUGACUCAUUCGGCGCCUUAGGGAA
RNAcentral lists this unclassified non-coding RNA (520 nucleotides) under uncultured Glomus. Its description in RNAcentral is "SSU rRNA". It matches the Rfam family "Eukaryotic small subunit ribosomal RNA", at positions 569 to 1096 of the family's 1831-position model. The record is from RNAcentral. Lineage: Eukaryota; Fungi; Glomeromycota; Glomeromycetes; Glomerales; Glomeraceae.